This is a long non-coding RNA of Falco peregrinus (peregrine falcon), 10372 nucleotides long. RefSeq lists it as uncharacterized. The transcript is spliced from 5 exons. NCBI's taxonomy places the organism in Eukaryota, Metazoa, Chordata, Aves, Falconiformes, Falconidae. The record is from RefSeq and is a predicted model, not a curated record.
UAUAUAAGCAGAGAGGGACUACAAACUCCCCUUAGCAGUAACUACCCAGAAGGUAAUCUGAGAGUCUCCAAAGCUGACCUCCAUGUGUCUUGCAUUGCCUCGUCUCCUUUCAUGCCACUUUCAUGUGACAGACCCCACGAAGAACGCCUGGAGGCUGCACUGUACCACAUUUAUUAUUUUGUCAGAGCUGCCGUGUCUGCCAAAUGGUGGCCAGACACUCAGACAGACUUUAGCAAUUAGCAGAGUCCUGCAGCUGAUGUCUGGGGCUUGCAUAUGUGUUCCCUGUGUGUUACCACAGCCGAGAUGCUGGCUGGGCCCACAUGGCCUGGGGCCUUGGCAUCCUCCUCGACCUCGGGGGAGAGUGACUCUGCACGCUCACCACGGGGGAGCCCACAGGACAUCAGCGUGUGGGGCCACCUCCUGGCACAACUCAGUCUCCAGCAGCACUUAGAAUCUACACCCAGACAUGUGGAUGCUGGAAGGCUAUGCCCAAAGAAGAGGUCCUUCUCUCAAGAGCUUGCAGACCACAGGUGGUCCUGGGGAAAAGGCAGAUUCCGAAAGCAGCUAGCUGGGAUUAUUGGCAGCAACAACCUGAAAAGGCAUCGAGAUGAGCAUAGGCAGCUUCUGACUCAAGUGAGGGAGCCUGUACUGUGGUUACCACACUGGCAGGGGAGGGAAAGGGAUAUUCCCCACCGGUUUUGUACCCUCAGACACAUUUUUUGGUAUUGGAAAUAGUGAAGGGUAAGAUUCACAUCUCUUCAGAGAUGCCCCUUAGAGAAAUUGGGCUGCAAGUUCCGGCCCCAAGCCUGGAUACUGCUCAAAAUGUGGGCUGGCAGAGAGGGAAAUGCUCAUUUGUUCAGCAGGAGGAGAGUGCUGGUAGCACGCCAGGCUGUAUGGCUGGCUUCACUACCCCAAAAAGCAUCAGCUGUUGAAAGAUCACUGACAGUUUUCUGUAAGGUCACUGCAUACUACAACAUCAUUGUGCAGCCAUCCUGGAGACAGGCAGUGAAACUAUUCAGACUGUCGAUGAAUUGGUGAAAAAGGGAUAUCCUCUAACAGGAUCUUCAGGUUGCACCAAGAUCAGUGCAACCACAGCCUGGCCAGCAAAGCCAGACAAGCCAUUCUUGGGUUUUUUUUCAUUUUCUUGGAAAAGAUGUUAUUUGAACAUUUUGCAGCUUCCAUUUAUUUCCCCAGCUCUGUAUUUUUCCCCUUGAUUUUGUCUCUAAUGGCAAAAAGACCCAACCAGACUGCAGCUUUGUUUGGCACCAAACUUUCCUCCUGAGAUGUUCGCACAAGAAGUCUUUUAUCACUUCAGCGGCUCUGAGCCAGAGCUGCUUGUGGUGGAAGUUGCCGGGACUGUAACCCCGGGCUGUCGUGGGACGAGAGUCAAGCUCAGGCUGUCAGCAAAGCGAGUUGCAGCAGUCGGAGCCCCUGCCAGGACACGUCAGUACUUCUGAGCGUGCUUCCCCCGGUGCUGCUGUCAUUAAGGAAAAGGUUUGUGCCAAGGAAGGAGGGCCCUGCUGAACUACCGGACUGCUGCUCUCUUCAGGCAUCGGCAGGCCCCCAGAGCUGCCAGCCGCUCUUCCUUGUGGCUUCUGUGACACUGUGCACAAGAAAUGCUGUCAAGUCACAUUUCCCAGAGGGUAAGGAAGAUUCCUGCUGGGUUUUUUUCCCAGCUAUGUUUUGCUGAAGAAAUAAUUUUAAAGGGGAAAAAGAAAAACCACAUUAUUGUGUAAGCAAGAUGGAAAACAGCUUUCUGCGGGUUCCCAGGUAUUUAUGUGCCAUUCUCUCUGGAACGUUAUUAGCAACAACAUUGCCUGUGGCUGGCUGACUAUUAAGUAUGGAUGGUUUUGCAAUAGCUGUGUGCACACUACCUUCCUUCGCAAGCAACGCCUUUUCCUUAGCUGUCCUCAUGGCUCAAUUUAUUUGUACACAAGGCAACUGUGAGGUUAUCAAGGCUUUCUAUCAGCUGUACAAACUCACAGCAGAAUCAGCUCUGUCUGUGUGUCCCUUUCUGAGAAUUACAGGUUUUGAGUAGCAGGCUCUUGGGCAGCUCUUAGGAGAGAUCUCGUCUUUCUUAUGUAUCUCUCUGUAGCAAUUGCUGCCUAUGCUUAUACUAGAAGCUAUGAGUAUUUAUAGCCAUAUGUGUAAGAAAGAAAAAGUAUAUUUGCUUGUUUGUUUUCCAGCCUCCCCAUAGAAUGGUUCUGAAAGCAGAAGUAGCUUUCACUGUGGAAAAAAAUUGACAAAAACAUCCUCAUUUUUCUCAGAUUUUCUUAGAUGUUUUUCAGAGUAUCGCUAAGACUUGCCAGGCACCUCCCCUUUCCUCCUCUGCCUUACCCCAAAUACUUCUCUUUUUGGCUAAAAAAUCUCAAGUUUGGGAUUUUUUUGACCAACAAUGUCAGCCAAAACCCAGACCUUUUCUGUAAUUUUUCCACUUAAUUUUUAAACUGUCUUCUGGCAAAACAGAAAUAUUGUUUUGAUGGAAAAUUCUCAACCAGCUCGGCUCAUUAGCUUCUGCCAACAGUCAUACAGGCAAAACAGUGCAUCCUCCAAGAGAGGAGACUGUCUGAAGGUCCGAACAUGAGGCAGGCGAUGACUAAUGCUUCUCUCCCUAGCUCCGUGCCCCAGCCAGCACUGUGCUCUUUUGCAGGCCUCAGCCCCUAAUGAGAGCCAUCUUUCUAGAGGUGUCUCCAGCUUAAACCUCUCUUGGCAAGCCAGCUUAGUAAUUCAGGUACUUUGCCAGGUUAAAGGAAGAUGUGGGUGGCACAGAAGGAUCUUCUCUGACCAAAGGACCAUGGGACUCCUCAGAGGAGCCCUGUUGUGCAUCUCUUGUCUGCCUUCACAAAUAGUUGGACCCCUCCAGGCAAGCACCAGUUGGCAGGGAAGGGUGGGGAGAUGGGGAUACUCCAGCUUACUUUCAAAGCAAGCUUUGGUGUGGUGCUGUUAACUGAAAUGUUUAGAUACACCAACAGCUGAGCCAUGCACAGUACACCAUGUAACCCCAAGGGCCUGCAGGGACAAGAUCCCAAAGUGGCUGAUGGGCUGAAAUGACACCAGUCACAUCACUGCUGUAUGUCUAUUACCCAUCUGUCCGUGAGGAGGGGGUUUUCACAUUGAAUCUGGAGCGUGAAUUCAAGGGUAAUCCAGCUCCUCUCAUUUCCUGGGUUCCUGUUAUGAACUGGGAGACAAAGAAGGAAGAUGUUGUUGCAGAGCAGGCCAGAAGUCAAAUUUCAGUGUUUGGCCUCUGCAGCCAAAGCAGUAUCUGCCCAUUGCCUACAUGAGCAGCCUCCUCAGGGCAAGCCUCCUCAGGGCACAGCCAUCCCUCGGGAGUCCCUAAUAUUUGCAAAGUGCUCUGAGGUCUUUCAGUGGAAGACCUUUUAGAUGUGCAAAAGUUUAUAGCCCUUCUCUGACCAUUGCUGAUUUUAGAGGGUUAAGUUAGGAACAGGAAAUAGAGCGACUAAAGGAAAGCCAUUAAUAUUAAAUUCUGCCCUUUGCUAGAUAGUCUUGUGUUAUCUUUGCUCUUUCAUGAAAUAUUUUCUAGUUUUCCUUGCAGGGCAUUCUUUACAGGGGUAGCAACUGAGAAGCUGUAACUUGGCACAUCUCCACCUGCUUUUCUCUAGCAGUGAACAUUUGUGCUCUGGGAUUUGAAGAAUUUCCUUUGCCUCCACAACUGAUAUGCAAACAGUCAGCUGUACAGACAUCAAUCUAUCCAGUAGACAUGCUGCAUGACCUAAGAAAUAAUACAGGUGGUCAGCACCAUGCUGGUGACUCCAGAAUUUCUGGAGCAGACAGACUCAUUUUACUAUGCCUAGAAGAUGGGAGGUCCUGUAUACACCCUCCAGUAACGUAAUCUGCUGUGCUUGACUGAUCACAAAACACCCACCAAGAUUUCCCUAACAAAAUUCUUGAUUUUUGCCAAGGAAAGCAAAGAUUUGCAGGAAAUGAGAGCCGUGACCUUGCCACCUCACAAAUAGCUUGGAGUUCUCAAGAUGCUCAUCUCAGCAGAGAGAUGCUUGUGCCAGAGCAUACAUAGAGUCCUGUGUGGACAGCGCACAGCUCAUCCAGCAUCCCUUUCUUUACCACCUCUAAUAGGCAUCAACUCUGUUGUGAUAAAAGCAGAAAUGGACCAACUUAAUCUUCUCCUGCCUGUUUGCUGUGUUGCUGUAAGUCACACUACAUAUAGGUACAGCUAUGUGAGCAGGUAUGGAAUGAGGGAUGUUAGGACUGGGAGAGGUGAGUGUUUCUAGCUGCAUGACCCAGCUCAUUCUCCCACCAGUGAUUUCAUCACAGCCAAAAGCUGUGUGCUUGAGCUGCCGUGCACCCUUUGGGCAGUUAAAGCCUAAGGGAAAAAAAUCAGAGAGAAAGAAAGGGGGCUCCAGAGUGCCCCUUAGCUCUAAGCAAGUUGUUCUCUAGGGCAAUCACCAUUUCUGUUAAAAAGAAGUCUUUCAUUUCCCAUUGAUACUUCUCAGGUUGCAAGGAAAGCCAUUCUUCUGCUCCUGAAGGCCUUAGCUGCAGACACAGCCUUGGAAGGGAAGCUUGCUCUCAUGGCUACGGCAAAGGAAUGGGAAGCACGAGAUCUGGCAUGAAGUCCUGCUCCCAUUGAAGCCAGUGGGAUAUUUGCCAUUGGCUUCAGGGGAAGCCAAGAUUUCAGUCUGCAGCCAGGUUUGCUGGUGUGUUGAGCUAUGCUGAGAGCAAGACCCAGAAGGGUUCUUGGUUUCCUGAUAAAGCUGUUGCUGCCUCUGCUGCAGAUAGCUGGUUUCUCACCUCACAUUGCCCCCUGCUCACUUUCAUGUUUUCAAAUCUUGUACUUCGGCCAGAAACUCUUCGAGGAAGAGACUGGUUGCAUGGUUUAUGCCUGUUGUAUUGUUCCAUGACUGGAGCUCCGAGACAUCCCCACCCACAAAAUUACCCCCUCCAUUGUGGAUUACGGACAGUGCAAGCAAAUGGCAUAAAACAAUAGCAUAGGGAUGGGGUAAGUGGCUUAAACUCAGAAAAACGUGGGAUUUGCUCAAGGUAAAAAUAACUGUGCCAUUUCCUUCAGGCAGCAGCUUGAAUCGGCUCUGGAAUUAACUCUGAGUGGUUCAAGAGAGCCUAAGAAGAUUGUAAAGGUGGUUCAUCAUUGGGCUUCUCUGCUUCACACCUUCACACCAACAUGAAUUGUUGGGAAUCUUGAUAUUAUAAGCACACCUUUUUCUCAUCUCCUCUCUUUCAAGGUUAGGUGGAAGCCAAAUUGUGUUAGAGGCGAGCCAUGAUACUCAUAAGCCUGAUAGUAAACCUUUCCGAAUUGUUAUUGUUUCCCCUGCUAGUAAGCCAACUCAGAGGUUGCCACGCUGCUGUGGUGACAUGUGUUAAGCAGUGCAUUGUAUAGUGCUCCCCGAUGCAUUGCACACCCUUGUGCCAGCUCUUGCAACCCACACAGCAUCCACCUUUGUGCAGUUAGUGCCAUCCUCCGAAAAGCAGGUGAAGAGAGUGAUCUCAGAGUGGACUGAAAUUAUUGUGUUAUACCAAGCAGUCCCACUUUGGUCCCGUUGUUUUUAUUUGCAUGGACACAUGGAGGAACCUCUGUAUGCCAAGGAAAAGAAACAUUGCAAAUAAUUCUUGCUCUUUAUAUUUCUUCCUGAUCAGGACAUCUCUUUCUAUUCAUUGUAUGAGUUAGGUCUCUACCGCCCCUUUCUGGAAACAUCUGUAAAUGCAUCAUAUCGAUUAAAAAAGGCAUGAAGGUUUAUCUUCUGGACCAAGAAGCUGCCCUGGCUUUCCUCACCUCUCCAGAUGCCACAUUUGACAGCAUCUUCUCCUCCUGGCUAGCCAUAGCUUGUGUUCUCUGGCCACCUGGGACUUGAUGUCAUUCCUUUGACAUUUCCACAAAGAGUAACUGGUGGGAGCAGCUUUCUGUUGCUCUGAGUUUAGCACUCCAAGAGGCAUCAAAGGGUCCUGGCACAGCUUCCCCAGGAUCCCUGCAGAUUUAAAGCCAAGCAUCAUGGGCAACAUGCUCCCAUGCACCCACAUGCCACGCUGACUGUCUCCUCAUGGGCACGACCCCGGAACCAACUCCUCAUGGAGGGGGCCGUGGUGAAAUUCCCUUCUGGCAUCCAGGCCUUGGACCUACAAAGUCUUGCCUGCACGGCUGGUGUCUGCCUGGUGAGACGUGACCCUGGCCCCCACCCUGGCAGCUCCCCAGGCUGCCUGCCCACCACCUGUGUGGGCGUGCAAAGGGCGAGGGCUCCUGCAGCCACAAAGGGUCAGCUCUGUCCCCGAGCCCUUUGUCCCAGCCUGCUGGCUGCCGGAGCAUUGUGCCUGGGCCGGAGGCUGGCUGCAGGACAGCACACAGCUCAGCUCUCUGCAGAGGGCUGCUCGCUUGCGCAGAGUGGGGUACACACAGGCACGUACUGCAGGACGGGGCCUUUCUGUCAUAUGUGGGAUGUGAGCUGUGCUUGCAGCUGGCAACUGCUUUGACUUUGACCCAUUCCCUGGAACUAUUUAUUUAAGAGAAAGAUCAGCAUUUGACCCUUGGCUUUUAGUAAGACACUCCUAGAACUAGCCUCAGAACAAGUGGAAACACUGCCCCUUCCCCCCCGCUUUGGGCGAGAACGCUAUGCCAGAACAAGGGCUAUGGGUGGGUUUUUCUGCUUGUGAAGCUUUUGUUGUGUCUUUUUUUUCUCUUAUCAUCUGAGAAGGUCCCUGGCACUACAGUAAAAGCCCGCACUGUCCAUUGGGGCUACUCUCCUUGUGGUGAAAGUGGUCCAGAGACAAGGUGAAGGUUUCCCUAGAAACAUAUACUCAUUCCAUGGCUCCAGUUAGAGAAGAUUUGUCUGUGUUUAUUGCUAACAAUGUUUCCUUGCAUUCGGCUCAGCUGGGAGCCUGAUUAGUGACUUCUCAGUGGCCUUGAAGCCCAAGACCCAGGUUUCUUUAAUUUUGUCCAAUCUGCUGGAUACUUAGGGAAAUGGCUGGAAAUAUUAUGAAGCAGCUUCUGGCAGUGAAGAGUUGCAGCAAAGGAUUGUAUAGACUCCUGGUAAUUUUAAUUAGCCUGUCCACCUAAGGCCUGCCUGUGCAGGGAGCUGCAGCAUUAACCAGCAGGGUCACAGCCCACAUAGUAAAAGACAUUGUUCUGCUCUUCUUCCUUUUCCUUGCAAGAAACUGAUUUGACUAGCUGUGCUCUGUUUGGUACCUGGUGAUCAUGCUGCUAGUGUUUGUGUCACUUUGCUACUGUUCACAGUUUGCAGUUGCAGCUUUUCUAAGUCUUUAUGGACAGCCAGACACGUUUUCUCAUUGCUUAAUGCAUGCUGGCCCCAGCUUCCCAGAGAGCUGGGAUCUAGGCUGCGCUGACAUGCCAACGUGUUGUGCAGCCUUGGGUGAAUCAGUUCACUUCCCUGUAACUCAGGGAACCACUGUGCAAUAGCAGAGGGACCACUGUAGCAUUGCUUGGCUGCGGCUUUAUAAAGCACUUUGAGCUCCUGGGAAGAAGAAGGGUAAGUGCAAACCUCUCCUGUUACUGUGGUUAAAGGUUGGCUGAGAUUAUGGUUUGAAACGAAUAGAAAACAACAGCCAACAGAGCAGCUCAUAUGUCCUUAAUGGUGGUCAGUUUGGGGGCUGGGCAUUUUCAGGGGCUACUUCACAGCCCAGUUACUGAAAGGGCAGAGCUGGCUUGGGGCUGGGACCCCUCUAUUGGGCUAUGUGCAAGACAGGAGGAGCUGUGUGAGGGCCAUGCUUAGCCUUAGCUUUUGCUGUAACAAUUACAAUGAUAAAGUCUCAGUUUUCCCGAUUUUCCUCCCUGCAAGUUGGUUUAAAGGGAAUGAAGGCAGAUCCUGCUAUAGCUUAGUACAUUACUAGCCAACUCAAAUGACUCCCCACUGUCUUUUCAUCUACAUAAGACUCUAAGUGUCCUAAGUCUUUGCAUGUCCUGGCACUCAGCCCAAUUGAAGCAUGUGCUCCAACAGAAGUUUUAAAUUUAAAGCUGUUCUUUUGGCUUCAGAAAUUUGCAGAUUGAAGCUGAGAGAUGCGAUUCAGCUGUUUACUUGCAGAUCUGCAACAGCCCUGCUGUGCUAUUGCACUCACCUCAGUCAGACAGUUGUGUUAACAGCACUUUCCAAUUAAAGUAGUAGCCUCAGUUACAGAAAAUGCUUUUCCUAUCUGGGAAUUUAUCUGAUUUAUUUUUUUUAAUUACUUAUGGAGCACAGGGAUGUUUUGUUUCCCAUCCCUUAUUAUAAUUAAUCCAUUAUCACUUCUGGCGACAGGGCUGGCUUUUGCUGGCUUUUUAUUUCUUGCCAUUUCCAGCAUCAGCAUGGGCCAAUACCACUCAGACACCACAUUACCCACAUGAUGGGAAGCACUGAUACAAGCAAUCAGGCAAAUAUCAGGUGCACAAGUAACUCCUGAAGUUCUGCUCACUCAGAACAGGAAAAAAGAAACCCUGGAAAUAGCCCUGCCAGAAAAUCCCAGAGCCUGAACUGAAAUGCUCCUACUCUGAGAACUUGGCUUUUAUGACCUUCACCGCCAAGAUCAAGGCUUUUCCUCAUUACCUGAACAUUCAGUCUCUGAGAGAAUAAAUGGUAUAGCAUGAACCCAGCAUCUUUCUUCAUGGUGCAGUCAGGCAAGAGCAUCUUUUUUUCCUUUCGCCUCACUGAAAGAAACGUGCUGGGCUCCAUCCUGCCUGCAGUGCAACUAUCUCAGCAAGGGUUGUCCAGUGGGAUGCAGUGGCAUCUGAACUGAGACCUGGGAUUCUGACUCCAGCCAUAUUUGCCAUGCAGCAAUGUGGUAACUGUCCACCGGUUUAAUGCGCUUUGUAACGUGAGUGCAGAACUGCUUAGGCUGGGACUGCAGGAACUGGAGAAGGACCAGAUAACAAUGACAAACCCACAGGCUGCAGCGCUGACAUCCUGUCCCAUAAGGCCACAAAGCCCCUCUGUCCCACGACAUGCUUUUCCCAUAGCUUCAGCAGCUGUAGCUGUCACUCUGGGCUUGUGCCCAGCACAGUGACCCUCAAAUCUUGGAGCACCUCAGUUCUGCAAGGCCCUUGCAAGGCUGCUGCAACCACAGACUCCCAGACUGACGAGAAAGCAGAGGCGGCUGCUGCCCCCAUGUGUUACUGCUCAUUAUUGUUGCCAUGCUCCAGUAAAGACGUGGGAACCCUAUUGGCAAGCAUGAAGGGGAGCCGGGCUAAGCACAGCACGGCCUCUCAGCCACCGAGGUGAAAGAUUUUGCUUUGGAAGGCUCUUCCAUUCCUCCUACAAGCUCAGGGCCUUCCCAUGGGCACCUUAUAUUCGAAAAAAUUGCAAAGUCAGAUUGGACAUGUUUGGAAGUAAGACGAGCUGGAGACAGCAUGGAGGCAUGCGAUAGGCAGCCAAGCACAGAGGUGGCAUCAUCCUGUUCUGAAAGGAUGCACACGCUACAUUCGGAGACUGCCAUGCAAUGCCGAACCAUAUUAGAUAUCAGCACAGCGUGUUCAGGCUUGUUGGCUCAGACCACAAGGAGCACAGAGCGAGAGACAGCUCUUGGCAGGCUGAGCUCACAUGAUAAGGUCAUUGGAAAGACAAGUGAUGCUUUCAGCAGCCUGCCUUUCCCCAGUAUCAGCACCAGCUUGAGCAAGGACUCACUUUGUGUAAUACACUGUGCUCCGCAUAGUGCCAAGGACAAAAGCUUCCUCACAAAUACAUUGAAGCUGUGCUUUUCCAACCUGUCUCAGCCUCCAGCUCCCAUCCUUCUUGGCCUCGUUAGGUUCCAGUUUUGAACCUCUUGGAAGAGUUGCAUUCCCUUUGGAUCAGUGGCAUCUCUCAAGCAGAAGGGAGAACAGGCUGUAGUUACUGGCUAUCUAUCUGCUUCUUCCCAACAGUUAUAAUUUACUUUUUGCACAUUCAUUAGUGAUCUCAUGGUUUUGUCCUUGUCUGUUGAGCAGUACUUUGUUGGGGCUGCACACGCUAAUUAUUCUAGACAGCAUCAGUCCCACACGCUGCCUGAAGCCUGGGGUGAUAGUUUGGUAGCAGCAGCCAAACUUUCACUGGCCCAAAUCAAGCCAGUUUGUGGCUCAAGGGGGUCACGCAGCCCAAUGGUUCUGGCCACCACUAACACAGCUUCUUGGAAAGGUAGGGUUGGCUGUUUGCCGUCCUUUCACCAAGAGCCUUUUUGGCCCUGGCACCAUUAACAGAUGGGCCAAGGAGCAAUGCCUCAGCUAAACAUUGUCUACAGACUACCCUGGACACUGCCUAGAGCUCCCUGAGAACAUCUGAAGGGAACAACAUGCGCUGGCAGGGCUUAUGUGCUCCAGCAAUUGGGAAUUGCAAACACAUGCUUCAGCUAUGCAAGAAAUCUUUGACUUGUUCUGAAUGUGAUUCUGCCUGGGUUUCUUCCCAGGAACAUUCCUGCUCUUCACAAUUUACCA